UAAUGUUGGCUGUUCUGCUAAAUGUAUUUUUUUCUUCUCCAAAUGCAAACAAUGGCCCAACACACACUGCCGCACGGGUUUGCAUUGCAAAUGAGGGAAUAAACUGGUUCGAGACACCAGCAGAGUCUCCUGAUUUAAACCCAAUCAAACUUGUUUGGCAUCAAAUGAAAACAUUCAUCCGUAACUCUGCCAAGCCUACAAGCAAAGAUGAACUGGUGAAGGCUAUCAAGACGUUUUGGAUUGAGAAACUGACGAUACAACAAUGCAACAAAAACAUUGAUCAUCUCAGCAAGGUUUUACCUGUGGUCGUGGAGCUGCGGGGAAGUGCAACUAAAAUGUAGCUGAGAUGUACACUAAUAGAAAUAAACAUCUGCAUUUUAAAAGUCUUCUUUUAUCUUUAUUUUA
Non-coding RNA from Salmo salar (Atlantic salmon), 405 nucleotides. The record is from RefSeq and is a predicted model, not a curated record. Lineage: Eukaryota; Metazoa; Chordata; Actinopteri; Salmoniformes; Salmonidae.